CCUACGGGGGGCAGCAGUGGGGAAUAUUGGGCAAUGGGCGCAAGCCUGACCCAGCAACGCCGCGUGGAGGAAGAAGGCUUUCGGGUUGUAAACUUCUUUUCUCAGGGACGAAGAAUGUGACGGUACGUGAGGAAUAAGCAACGGGUAACUACGUGCCAGCAGCCGCGGUAAUACGUAGGUGGCAGGCGUUAUCCGGAUUUAUUGGGUGUAAAGGGCGUGUAGGCGGGAGCGCAAGUGCGAUGUGAAACGGCGUGGCUCAACCCUGAGCCUGCAUUUGAAACUGGCUUUCUUGAGUGCUGGAGAGGCAAGCGGAAUUCCGUGUGUAGCGGUGAAAUGCGUAGAUAUACGGAGGAACACCAGUGGCGAGGGCGGAUUGCUGGACAGUAACUGACGCUGAGGCGCGAAAGCGUGGGGAGCAAACAGGAUUAGAUACCCUUGUAGUC
RNAcentral lists this ribosomal RNA (443 nucleotides) under uncultured bacterium. RNAcentral's name for it is "partial 16S ribosomal RNA". It matches the Rfam family "Bacterial small subunit ribosomal RNA", at positions 338 to 795 of the family's 1533-position model. The record is from RNAcentral.